Molecule: unclassified non-coding RNA, 159 nt
Filed under: uncultured Helotiales
Lineage: Eukaryota; Fungi; Ascomycota; Leotiomycetes; Helotiales
Description: sequence contains ITS1
Source: RNAcentral
CAGAGUUCGUGCCCUCACGGGUAGAUCUCCCACCCUGUGUUAUUAUACCUUUGUUGCUUUGGCGGGCCGCCCUCGGCUACCGGCCCCGGCUGGUACGCGCCCGCCAGAGGCCCGACAAAUUCUGAUUGUCAGUGUCGUCUGAGUACUAUAUAAUAGUUA